GGGGGGGGGGGGGGGGGGGGUGGGGAGGGGCGGGUCGAACGGGGCGGGCUUCGUUGUUGGGGGUGGGGGGAGUGGCGAACGGGGGAGUAUCACGUGAGUAACCUGCCCUUCGGGCCGGGAGAACCGCUUGAAAGGGCGGCGAAUACGGGGUGGUCCGGGUGGUCCGCAUGGGCUGGUCGGGGUAGAUUCACUGUUUUUGGGGUUUCGGCGGGGGAUGGGCUCGCGGCCUAUCAGCUUGUUGGUGGGGUGAUGGCCUACCAAGGCGGUGACGGGUAGCCGGCCUGAGAGGGUGGGCGGCCACACUGGGACUGAGAUACGGCCCAGACUCCUGCGGGAGGCAGCAGUGGGGGGUAUUGCACAAUGGGCGGAAGCCUGAUGCAGCGACGUCGCGUGAGGGAUGGAGGCCUUCGGGUUGUGAACCUCUGUUUCCGGUGGUGAAGGCCCUGUCCGUGUGGUGGGGUUGACGGUAGCCGGGGAUGAAGCGCCGGCUAACUACGUG
Molecule: ribosomal RNA, 499 nt
Filed under: uncultured bacterium
Lineage: Bacteria
Description: partial 16S ribosomal RNA
Rfam family: Bacterial small subunit ribosomal RNA
Source: RNAcentral